CCUACGGGAGGCAGCAGUGGGGAAUAUUGGGCAAUGGAGGCAACUCUGACCCAGCAACGCCGCGUGAAUGAUGAAGGUCUUCGGAUUGUAAAGUUCUGUGAUGGGGGAUGAACACAAUGACGGUACCCCAAUAGCAAGCCACGGCUAACUACGUGCCAGCAGCUGCAGUAAUACGUAGGGGGCAAGCGUUAUCCGGAAUGUCUGGGCGUACAGGAUGCGUAGGUGGUUUAGUAAGUUGGCUGGGUAAUUCCGGUGAUCAACCGCGGCGCUACCGCCAAAACUAUUAGACUAGAGUGCAGGAGAGGUAAGUGGAAGGACUGGGGUAGCGGUGAAAUGCGUAGAUAUUAGGAAGAACAUCAGUGGGGAAGGCGACUUACUGGACUGUAACUGACACUGAGGCACGAAAGCGUGGGGAGCAAACAGGAUUAGAUACCCGAGGAGUC
This 443-nucleotide ribosomal RNA is filed under the name uncultured bacterium. Its description in RNAcentral is "partial 16S ribosomal RNA". It matches the Rfam family "Bacterial small subunit ribosomal RNA", at positions 338 to 795 of the family's 1533-position model. The record is from RNAcentral.